Molecule: ribosomal RNA, 481 nt
Filed under: uncultured bacterium
Lineage: Bacteria
Description: bacterial SSU rRNA
Rfam family: Bacterial small subunit ribosomal RNA
Source: RNAcentral
CUACGUGCCAGCAGCCGCGGUAAUACGGAAGGUCCGGGCGUUAUCCGGAUUUAUUGGGUUUAAAGGGAGCGUAGGCUGGAGAUUAAGUGUGUUGUGAAAUGUAGACGCUCAACGUCUGACUUGCAGCGCAUACUGGUUUCCUUGAGUACGCACAACGUUGGCGGAAUUCGUCGUGUAGCGGUGAAAUGCUUAGAUAUGACGAAGAACUCCGAUUGCGAAGGCAGCUGACGGGAGCGCAACUGACGCUGAAGCUCGAAGGUGCGGGUAUCGAACAGGAUUAGAUACCCUGGUAGUCCGCACAGUAAACGAUGGAUGCCCGCUGUUGGUACCUGGUAUCAGCGGCUAAGCGAAAGCAUUAAGCAUUCCACCUGGGGAGUACGCCGGCAACGGUGAAACUCAAAGGAAUUGACGGGGGCCCGCACAAGCGGAGGAACAUGUGGUUUAAUUCGAUGAUACGCGAGGAACCUUACCCGGGCUUGAA